UCUUUUCUUUUGAUAAGAGAGUUUUUAAAACCAGUGUUAUUUAUGUAAGUUUAAGAGAAGUUUAUGUAUUAAAUUAUUGAUAUUAAAUAGGUUUAUUAGGCUUAGACUUAAUUUUAGGUCAUUUUGGGGGUUUAGCUCAGUUGGCUAGAGCAUCGGCUUUGCAAGCCGAGGGUCAAGGGUUCGAGUCCCUUAACCUCCAUUGGGCUUAUGCCCUAAAUUGUAAUUAAGUAUGUUUUUAAGUAACUUUGUUAAAGUAAUUGUUGGAAUGUGAAACACAAGAAGUUAAAAUUUCUGGGUUAAGUUGAGAUCUGUUGAUAUUAAGAAAAAUGUCUAGAAGCAAAAGCAAGCUUUCGAUAAAACCCGAAGUUGUUUCGCUAAAGUGCAAGGAUUAAACAGGAUUGUAUUUUUCAGCAGCCUAUUUUAUAAACGAUCUGCAUUUAGUAAAUAGUUUUUAGUUAGGAAAUAAUGUAGAUUACUAAGUGUGAUGUCUGAGAGAAGGACAAGUAUUGUAGCGAGCUUAAAUCCUUAUUAUCGUUGCCAGUAUUUAGUGGUAGGGAUUCGGAUAAGAUUGCCAGUUAUAAGUUGGAGGAAGGCAAAGAUUGCAUUAAAUCGUUAUCGCUCUUAUGUUUUAGGUUACAAGUUUGCAACAAUAACUCAAAAAAGCCAAGCAAAAUACCAUAAAGCAGAUUUCAGUUUGGAUUUGCCCGACACUCAAUGGCAUGAAGUUGUAAUUGUUAGUAAUCG
This 744-nucleotide unclassified non-coding RNA is filed under the name Borreliella burgdorferi (Lyme disease spirochete). RNAcentral describes it as "partial contains 16S ribosomal RNA and 16S-23S ribosomal RNA intergenic spacer". The stretch from base 126 to 199 matches the Rfam family "tRNA". Lineage: Bacteria; Pseudomonadati; Spirochaetota; Spirochaetia; Spirochaetales; Borreliaceae. The record is from RNAcentral.